GCCCGCCUAGCUCAAUCGGCUAGAGCGUCAGACUUUUACGAAUAUCAUUCGUCAACUCCAUCUGAAGGCUGCGAGUUCGACCCUCGCGGUGGGCU
This is a transfer RNA of Botryobasidium botryosum FD-172 SS1, 95 nucleotides long. It matches the Rfam family "tRNA". Rfam says of the family: Transfer RNA (tRNA) molecules are approximately 80 nucleotides in length. The record is from Rfam. NCBI's taxonomy places the organism in Eukaryota, Fungi, Basidiomycota, Agaricomycetes, Cantharellales, Botryobasidiaceae.